UACGUAGGAUGCGAGCGUUGUCCGGAUUUACUGGGCGUAAAGCGCGCGCAGGCGGCAUACCAAGUAUUCAGUGAAAUCUCCCUGCUCAACGGGGAGGGUGCUGAGUAGACUGGUAAGCUAGAGGACGGUAGAGGGGGGUAGAAUUGCUGGUGUAGCGGUGAAAUGCGUAGAGAUCAGCAGGAAUACCCGUGGCGAAGGCGGCCCCCUGGGCCGUUUCUGACGCUGAGGCGCGAAGGCUAGGGGAGCGAACGGG
This 253-nucleotide ribosomal RNA is filed under the name uncultured bacterium. Its description in RNAcentral is "partial 16S ribosomal RNA". It matches the Rfam family "Bacterial small subunit ribosomal RNA", at positions 524 to 776 of the family's 1533-position model. The record is from RNAcentral.